CAAGUUGUUGAGUGACUUUUAAAAAAAUAGAAUACAGAGCCAAACCUUUAAAAAAAGCUAUUUGACAUUUGUUUUGUUUCUUUCACAGAUGACAAAUGAAGUUUUCUUUAAAGUAGAAAGUACUCUGUGAUUCCUUUGAUUAGACAUAAUCUGUGGCAUUUGUUUUUAAAUUUAUGAAAUUUGGAAAUUUUUAGGUUAUUCUACAAUUUAUAGAUUGCUAAUAAAACUGAAAAUUGCGAAAUAAAGGCCAAAAUGAAGAAAUAUGCAAGAAAUAUGUUAUAUGAUAAAUUACACAAAGGAGCAGUGCUAGGCUGCGUCGCUUUGACCCUGUACGGGUCUUUUCUUCUUGGUAAUCAUUUCUACAGAUAUUACAGAUAUAUUAAGCCGCAAGUAGAUGCAUCUAAAGCUGCAGCUGAAAGGGAACUGCUAGCUGAAGGAUCUUCAGAUAAAAUACUGUAAAACAAAGAUUAUCAGACUGUAGAUAUGCCAAGGGCUUAAUUAUGAGUCACAUAUUAAAUACUACCCUGAAUGUCACAGCCUUACUAAUUUUUACAUUAAUCAUCAAUAGUUUUUAAAACACAACUGCUUAGACUCAAUAUAUUAUAGUCAAUCUAUUCCAAGAACUACUGGGCUUUGGAAGAUCACAGACCAAAUGCUUUUGGGUCUAUAAAUAAAGGUUUCAAUUGGUUAAAGUCAACUCUGGGGGAGCAACCAAUAUUAAUAUACUUAAGCCAAACAAUGAAAUACACCAUCACUUAAAGGAGAGGAAGGAGGAGAGAAUAGAGAAGCACCCUACAGCUUACACCAAUCGACCUCUGAAAGUGUGUCUUCCUUACCACGUGACAUUGGCGAAGUAAAUUGUACUCAGUUGGUACAACAGCAAGCCACAAAAUCAAAAAUUGAAUUGAAUUGAGAAGCACUCUAAUGAUCAGGCUGUAGCACUUAAAACAAACUCAUACAUGAAAAAGAAAUGACAUACUUUAAAAGACCUUGUGGGUCAACAAAAGUUCUUGAAAAAAAAAGAAAAAAUCCAACUGCCAACAGCCUCACAUCACAUCUGAUUAAAGUUACAAAACUGAUUGCAGCUUAAUUUGGGCAAAAAUAAAAUUAAAUAGGCUAAUAAAUAUUCCUUCAGUUUUACAUGUACCACAUUGCAGGUCAACUGUCAAUUUUUAUUGUUUAUUCUUUAAAUAGCUAGUGCUGUCCUUAGUAAUUUUUUAAGCAUGUUAUGAGUAUACGGUUGUUACUUGAUUAUCACAAAUCUGUGAAAUUGUCUUAAAUUUAUAUUGUUGUUGCAAUUACUAAAUACAGUCUAACAUAAAUAUAUUUCAAUUGUGUAAUGUUCAUUUAUGUUGCUCUUAUUCUGGGUUUAGGUUAUCUACAGUUACAAUCUUUGUAUUACUUUAGGAUAAGCUUUAAAUAGUGAUCAUUAGUUGUUUUAAUGUAAAUAUUAUUUAAAUAAACAUUAUUUGUAGGAAA
Bicyclus anynana (squinting bush brown) is the source of this 1479-nucleotide long non-coding RNA. RefSeq lists it as uncharacterized. The record is from RefSeq and is a predicted model, not a curated record. Lineage: Eukaryota; Metazoa; Arthropoda; Insecta; Lepidoptera; Nymphalidae. The transcript is spliced from 2 exons.